CGUGUGACAAUAUGUGAGAUUGGGUAAAAUUGCUGAUUUAUAAAGUUGUAAUUUGGCGUCUACUGGGAUUAGAUUUCUAAGCCUUACCAACACACCAACUUUUUGGCUUGCUUUCUUACAUAUUUCACUGAUAUGAAGACUAAAGUUCAGCUUAUCGUCAAGAGUCACUCCUAGCAGUUUCAUUUCAGUAGACGAUUUAAUUAUUUCUUCAUCAAUCUUAACCUGUAUAGAUAGGUUGUCUUUAUUUCUAUUUUUUCUGCCUAGCAACAUCAAGCUAUAUUUAUCAUAGUUCCCUUUGAGGAAAUUAUCUUUAUACCAUUGUGAUAUCUUAUGUCCUUCUUCGUUCAAAAUUUGUUCCAGAUAACUGGAUAUUUCAUGAGUUUUGGGAGUAUUCUGUCAUAAGCGUAGCUUUUUGUAAAAGCCUUAGAAAAUAAGACUCAAACUACACUAACACAUCCCACAUACUUGGGCUGCCUGUGCCCUAGGAAGUCAUGGACUAGGUCUACCCACAAGUCAUUUGGGUCAUUUUCCCGCCUUCCCGCUUCCUCAUUCGUUCAUGUCCUCCAUUCAAAGAGGAUGGUUUCCGCUUGAUUUUCUCUUCAAAUACCCAACUCUGAGACAUUUAUCAGCAAGAAAAGUAAAAUAACAGUGAAUUGAAGUAACUGACCAUUUUUCUGAGCUCUAACGACGUGAUUUGAGAGGCGACUCGACUUUGUUAACUGAGUCUCGUAAAAGAAUCUCCUACGAGCGAGCGAGGCAAACAACGAGCCGUAGGCAUGCGCUGACAUUCACGAGAGCGAAGAACAGUCACAGCUUUCACGCGAAGUAAAUGGUCAGACCAGCGAGCAAGCUUAUGAAAACAGGAACCAAUACGAAUAGCCGCCAGGGGGCGAUAGCCAGGUAAGUCUGUGGGUACUUCGCGGGGUCGGGCCGCAUUUGGUCGUUUCCCUAAAGGUACAGUUCACGGUGUUUUGAUGUUACCUUGUUCACAGUUUCAUAAGCAAAUAACUUUGGUUCUCAGGCUUCUUCAAUUUUUUUUGUGCCGGCACCGGAAAUGCAAAUUUUAAAGAUGCUUUUCACGGUCGCACUUCCAUUUACAAAAUAUACUGUUAAUAAAUCCUUGAUGUGUCCAUCUCGAAGCACACGUGAUAGCUAUAGCUAUCACGUGUUUAUCUCCAAAAAGUUUUCUUUUUCAUAUAAUUUUGUGCUGAAGCUGAGGCAAUAGCAAAAGCCAUAAUUACCAUGCUUUACAUUCUAAGAAUCUUCGCAUAGAAGGAGAUGGGGUUAUAUGGAAAAAGAAUAAAAGCUCGGAAUACCUGCCCACUCAAUUUUUCAAUCCAAAAUACUGCCACUGCAGUCUCUGGUCUAAUGAUUUAAUUAUAUUCAGCCUCAACUCACUCCAGACUCACUGAAUGUUCCCCUUCUAACAAUAUCCAUUAAUGCUGUUCAAGUCAAGUCCUGUGUUUCUCGAGUCACUGUUUCAUAUUUUUUAAAAGUUCCUUUACAUCAGCCAGAAACUCCCAAAAGAAGUCUUUGUCCUUGUUCUUGUACUGCCACAUAAACUCUGCCAGAUAAGAGGAGAAAUUGUAUUUGCAGAUUCUGAAGGGUGGUAAAGUGAUU
Long non-coding RNA from Nematostella vectensis (starlet sea anemone), 1620 nucleotides. RefSeq lists it as uncharacterized. The transcript is spliced from 2 exons. NCBI's taxonomy places the organism in Eukaryota, Metazoa, Cnidaria, Anthozoa, Actiniaria, Edwardsiidae. The record is from RefSeq and is a predicted model, not a curated record.